Molecule: ribosomal RNA, 497 nt
Filed under: uncultured bacterium
Lineage: Bacteria
Description: partial 16S ribosomal RNA
Rfam family: Bacterial small subunit ribosomal RNA
Source: RNAcentral
GAUGAACGCUGGCGGCGUGCCUAAUACAUGCAAGUCGAGCGAACAGACGAGGAGCUUGCUCCUUUGACGUUAGCGGCGGACGGGUGAGUAACACGUGGGUAACCUACCUAUAAGACUGGGAUAACUUCGGGAAACCGGAGCUAAUACCGGAUAAUAUUUCGAACCGCAUGGUUCGAUAGUGAAAGAUGGCUUUGCUAUCACUUAUAGAUGGACCUGCGCCGUAUUAGCUAGUUGGUAAGGUAACGGCUUACCAAGGCAACGAUACGUAGCCGACCUGAGAGGGUGAUCGGCCACACUGGAACUGAGACACGGUCCAGACUCCUACGGGAGGUAGCAGUAGGGAAUCUUCCGCAAUGGGCGAAAGCCUGACGGAGCAACGCCGCGUGAGUGAUGAAGGUCUUCGGAUCGUAAAACUCUGUUAUUAGGGAAGAAUAAACGUGUAAGUAACUGUGCACGUCUUGACGGUACCUAAUCAGAAAGCCACGGCUAACUACGUG